CCGUAGGUGAACCUGCGGAGGGAUCAUUACAGAGUUGCAAAACUCCCUAAACCAUUGUGAACGUUACCUUCAAACCGUUGCUUCGGCGGGCGGCCCGGGUCCGCCCGGUGCCCCCUGGCCCCCUAGCGGGGCGCCCGCCGGAGGAAAACCCAACUCUUGAUUAUUAUGGCCUCUCUGAGUCUUCUGUACUGAAUAAGUCAAAACUUUCAACAACGGAUCUCUUGGUUCUGGCAUCGAUGAAGAACGCAGCGAAAUGCGAUAAGUAAUGUGAAUUGCAGAAUUCAGUGAAUCAUCGAAUCUUUGAACGCACAUUGCGCCCGCCAGUAUUCUGGCGGGCAUGCCUGUUCGAGCGUCAUUUCAACCAUCAAGCCCCGCGCUUGUGUUGGGGACCUGCGGCUGCCGCAGGCCCUGAAAACCAGUGGCGGGCUCGCUGUCACACCGGGCGUAGUAGAUUUUAUCUCGCUCAGGGCGUGCUGCGGGUUCCGGCCGUUAAAAAGCCUUUUUUACCCAAGGUUGACCUCGGAUCAGGUAGGAAUACCCGCUGAACUUAAGCAUAUCAAUAAGCGG
This 567-nucleotide ribosomal RNA is filed under the name Pezizomycotina sp. 7R12-1. RNAcentral's name for it is "eukaryotic LSU rRNA". The stretch from base 202 to 355 matches the Rfam family "5.8S ribosomal RNA". Lineage: Eukaryota; Fungi; Ascomycota. The record is from RNAcentral.